UUCUCCAGGGAACAAAGUACAAACUGCUAUUAUAAGCAUGGCAAUGUUUUCUCAGUGUACAGAUAGAGGAAAUUUCUCCCUGAAAAUGUCACAAUCAUCUAGUAACCACGACUGAGGACACUCUACAGGAGAGGACCAUCCAUCUCCACCCACUGCCGUGUGACUUGCUGUUCAUCCUUGAUCAAUCUUUUCAAAAUAUUCACUUCCCUUCUCAAGAACUACACUGCCUCUCCACUGUCCAACAGAUUAAAUCCUGCUCAUUCUGCUCUAUCAGGUACCGCUUUACGUUUCCUAAGUUGCCA
Molecule: long non-coding RNA, 302 nt
Filed under: Fukomys damarensis (Damara mole-rat)
Lineage: Eukaryota; Metazoa; Chordata; Mammalia; Rodentia; Bathyergidae
Description: lncRNA (ENSFDAG00000024426.1)
Source: RNAcentral